AAACCAGCACCUCAAGUGGUCAGGAUGAUUAUUGGGCCUAAAGCAUCCGUAGCCUGCUUUGUAAGUUUUCGGUUAAAUCUAUAUGCUCAACAUAUAGGCUGCCGGGAAUACUGCACAGCUAGGGAGUGGGAGAGGUAGACGGUACUCGGUAGGAAGGGGUAAAAUCCUUUGAUCUAUUGAUGACCACCUGUGGCGAAGGCGGUCUACCAGAACACGUCCGACGGUGAGGGAUGAAAGCUGGGGGAGCAAACCGGAUUAGAAACCCCGGUAGUCC
RNAcentral lists this ribosomal RNA (274 nucleotides) under uncultured bacterium. Its description in RNAcentral is "partial 16S ribosomal RNA". It matches the Rfam family "Archaeal small subunit ribosomal RNA", at positions 473 to 747 of the family's 1478-position model. The record is from RNAcentral.